GACGAACGCUGGCGGCGUGCCUAAUACAUGCAAGUCGAACGGUCUUUUCUAUGGAAGCUUGCUUCCACUGAAAAGAUAGUGGCGGACGGGUGAGUAACACGUGGGUAACCUGCCCAUAAGAGGGGGAUAACAUCCGGAAACGGGUGCUAAUACCGCAUAGUUUUCUUGAUCGCAUGAUUGAGAAAGGAAAGACGGCCUUUGUGCUGUCGCUUAUGGAUGGACCCGCGGCGUAUUAGUUAGUUGGUGAGGUAAUGGCUCACCAAGACGAUGAUACGUAGCCGACCUGAGAGGGUGAUCGGCCACAUUGGGACUGAGACACGGCCCAAACUCCUACGGGAGGCAGCAGUAGGGAAUCUUCCGCAAUGGACGAAAGUCUGACGGAGCAACGCCGCGUGAGUGAAGAAGGUUUUCGGAUCGUAAAACUCUGUU
Molecule: ribosomal RNA, 429 nt
Filed under: uncultured bacterium
Lineage: Bacteria
Description: bacterial SSU rRNA
Rfam family: Bacterial small subunit ribosomal RNA
Source: RNAcentral